AUACGGAGGGUGCAAGCGUUAUCCGGAAUCAUUGGGUUUAAAGGGUCCGUAGGCGGGCGAUUAAGUCAGAGGUGAAAUCCCACAGCUCAACUGUGGAACUGCCUUUGAUACUGGUUGUCUUGAGUUACAGUGAAGUAGAUAGAAUGUGUAGUGUAGCGGUGAAAUGCAUAGAUAUUACACAGAAUACCGAUUGCGAAGGCAGUCUACUAACUGUAUACUGACGCUAAUGGACGAAAGCGUGGGGAGCGGACAGGAUUAGAAACCCUAGUAGUCC
RNAcentral lists this ribosomal RNA (274 nucleotides) under uncultured bacterium. RNAcentral's name for it is "partial 16S ribosomal RNA". It matches the Rfam family "Bacterial small subunit ribosomal RNA", at positions 523 to 796 of the family's 1533-position model. The record is from RNAcentral.